CCUACGGGUGGCAGCAGUGAGGAAUAUUGGUCAAUGGCCGGAAGGCUGAACCAGCCAUGCCGCGUGAAGGUCAGUGCCCUUUGGGCGUUUAACUUCUUUUGUGCGGGAGCAAUAAUGGUCACGUGUGGCCAGACGAGAGUACCGUACGACUAAGCAUCGGCGACCUCCGUGCCAGCAGCCGCGGUAAUACGGGGGAUGCAAGCGUUAGCCGGAUUUAUUGGGGUUAAAGGGUGCGUAGGCUGGGAGGUAAGUCAGCGGUGAAAUGCCCCCGCUCAACGGGGUGAAGUGCCAUUGAUACUGCCUAGCUGGAAUGCGGAUGCCGUGGGAGGAAUGUGUGGUGUAGCGGUGAAAUGCAUAGAUAUCACACAGAACACCGAUUGCGAAGGCAUCUCACGAAUCCGCGAUUGACGCUGAUGCACGAAAGCGUGGGUAUCAAACAGGAUUAGAUACCCCGGUAGUC
This 460-nucleotide ribosomal RNA is filed under the name uncultured bacterium. RNAcentral describes it as "partial 16S ribosomal RNA". It matches the Rfam family "Bacterial small subunit ribosomal RNA", at positions 338 to 795 of the family's 1533-position model. The record is from RNAcentral.